AGAGUAGGCGGGACUGCAAGUCCGUUGUUAAAUCUAUCGGCUCAACCGGUAGCUGCGGCGGAAACUGUAGUUCUUGAGUGAAGUAGAGGCAGGCGGAAUUCCUAGUGUAGCGGUGAAAUGCGUAGAUAUUAGGAGGAACACCAGUGGCGAAGGCGGCCUGCUGGGCUUUAACUGACGCUGAGGCUCGAAAGUGUGGGGAGCAAACA
This 206-nucleotide ribosomal RNA is filed under the name uncultured bacterium. Its description in RNAcentral is "partial 16S ribosomal RNA". It matches the Rfam family "Bacterial small subunit ribosomal RNA", at positions 568 to 774 of the family's 1533-position model. The record is from RNAcentral.